GACGAACCGUGCGAACGUUGUUCGGAAUCACUGGGCUUAAAGGGCGCGUAGGCGGGCGGCCGCGUCCGGGGUGAAAUCCUCCCGCUCAACGGGAGAACGGCCUCGGAUACGGGCGGCCUUGAGGGGGGUAGGGGCAUCUGGAACUGUGAGUGGAGCGGUGAAAUGCGUUGAUAUUCACAGGAACUCCGGUGGCGAAGGCGAGGUGCUGGACCCCAUCUGACGCUGAGGCGCGAAAGCCAGGGGAGCGAACAGG
RNAcentral lists this ribosomal RNA (253 nucleotides) under uncultured bacterium. RNAcentral describes it as "partial 16S ribosomal RNA". It matches the Rfam family "Bacterial small subunit ribosomal RNA", at positions 524 to 776 of the family's 1533-position model. The record is from RNAcentral.